UUAAUAACAUUCUUUUUACAUUUAAUAAAACAAAAAGAAGAAUUCUUCCUUCAUUUCAGUUGAGCAUCAAGUCAUCCCUGGGGCCCUGCAAAUGCUCAUCCAACUUCCACACUUCGUCCAGUCCGGUCUCCCACCAGUUGUCCUCCCACGGCUCAUUCGGCAGGUGCUCAGCACGCUGCUGUCCAUGCCACUGCGCAUGAUCUUGGCAGCCUCGUCCCUCUUCCGCUUGACCUUGCACUUCAUGGCAUCUCUCUCGGCGUGGCGCUUGAUGGUGAUGGUGACGUAGUACUCCCGGCAGUGGAAGCGUUGUGUCCCUACCAAAGCUGAGACCAAACCUACGUGGCAACAUGCAGCUAGUUAAGAGUGCAAUCAUUAUCAGGUGACAUUGAGUUUUACUGCUGUGUUAUACUGCAAGCAAGAUACACCCACAGUAUGCACCCAUGCAGCACCCAUUUUAUGUUUCACAGGAAAAGGAUAUUCCGAUGUGUCCACUGACACUGCAACUCUCUGAACUGAAGGUUCAAGAGGCUUUACUGAAUGCAAUGACCAGUGAAGGCAAGUGGCACCUGAAUCAGUCACACCUUCGGCAGCCAUCUUAAGAUUUGAUCAACAGGAAAUAGAUAUAUUUAACUGUGGCUUCAAGCAGCCAUCACGUUGCACUUUGUACCCAACAGGAGAUAUUUUAUGAUACAAUAUGGGAGGAAAUAGAUGUAACCAGAGCUUCAAGGUACUUCGAGCCGAGUUACAUUAAUACAUGUCUGGCACUUCUUAUCGAAUGCAUUUAUCUGACGAUCCACUUACAUUUUCUGACAAUGGCAAGUGGAGGAUCUUUCACACCCUAUGAUCUGAGGAUUCUGUUGCUGGGACCUAGAGGAGCAGGAAAGACUUAUGUGGCUGACAAAAUUAUUGGCCAUGAGACUUCUGAAGAAAACAUUGGACUGUGCAUAGAGAAAAAAGGAAAAUGGAAAUGACAAACGGUGACUGUGGUGGACACGCCUGGCUGGGACAGUGUAGCUGUGCAGCAAACACAUUUUCAAACUGAACGGAUCGUGGAAGGUGCAGCCUUGUGCGUACCAGGACCUAAUGCCUUGAUCCUAGUGCUGCCCAUAUCAACGUAUGCAGAUGUGCUUUCAACUGAGAUUCACACUGCCUGCCAACACAUAGAGCUUUUGUCAGAGAGGGCCUGGAAUUACACCAUGGUGCUGUUUGUGUGCAAAUAUGAGGUGGAGGAAUCUGUCAUUGGUCGGCAUGUGAAGGCUACGCAGAAGCUUCUUGAAAAAUGUGAUCAUCGGCAUUUCAUCCUCCGGAAUGACUCUCGGGUUGCCGACCUGCAGCAGGUGAUAGAGGAUCUAGUGAGAAAGACCUGUGGAGAGUGUCUGAGCUAUAGUAGAGAUAUCCUCCCAAGCUAUUCUCAGGCAAAAUCGGAUGGCACUGCAGAGCUACACAAACAAUCAGAACAGACAGUGAAACAUUCUGAUGAGAUGAAGAGACGCGAUAGCUCUGAAACGAUACGUCCAACUAUGCAAGAGACAGGAAAGAGCGAAGUGGCUGUUCAGGAUCAAGGGGACAUACUUGCUCUUCUUGGACGGUAUGCACCACCAUCAGGGAUCAUAAUGACGGCUUAUAUUGGAGCACUUUUGGGAGCAGUAGCUGGGGCAACUGAUGGAGUGGCUGGAUCAGCUAGAGGUCUAGUGUUGGGAGUAACUGGGGGCAUUCUGGUGGCCAUGAUGGUAAUUGGAGCAGCAAGGUUUUCAAGAGGCAAUGGCAUCCAAAGUGGUGCACACCAGAGCACCAAUAUAAGGGAUGUAGGCUCAACUGAAAAGGCCAAAGAGCAAUAAGAUGCAUGUGAGAGGUAAAGUAAAUAUAGCUGAGGCCUUUUGUGUUUCACAGUUAUUUGCGUAAGGGAUAAUGGACGACACUCCAUUAGAUUAUCUGAAAAUAAACGCACGUUCAAGGUUGUAAUGCAACCAUGACGCGCAGCGGAAUGCCCAGUAGAUUUCUAUUUAAUGCAUUGUUUUAUCUGAAUCUGUAUUUGACAUCAAUCUUGUUAAGUUUAUGUUUAAGUCUUGUUUUUUUGAUUAAGCUUACAUUGUUAAACUGACAUCUAACCUGUUGUAGUGUAUCUGUCUGAUUUUACUUCAAUUUAAGUGAUAUUGGUUACAUUUAAGUUUACUGGUUAAUAAAUAGUUAAUUCACCACCAUU
RNA transcript from Alosa sapidissima (American shad), 2203 nucleotides. RefSeq lists it as uncharacterized. The transcript is spliced from 6 exons. Lineage: Eukaryota; Metazoa; Chordata; Actinopteri; Clupeiformes; Clupeidae. The record is from RefSeq and is a predicted model, not a curated record.